RNAcentral lists this non-coding RNA (28 nucleotides) under Homo sapiens (human). The record is from RNAcentral. Lineage: Eukaryota; Metazoa; Chordata; Mammalia; Primates; Hominidae.
UGGUGCUGUUCUCAUGAUGGUGAGUUUC